This 333-nucleotide ribosomal RNA is filed under the name uncultured bacterium. RNAcentral's name for it is "partial 16S ribosomal RNA". It matches the Rfam family "Bacterial small subunit ribosomal RNA", at positions 338 to 668 of the family's 1533-position model. The record is from RNAcentral.
CCUACGGGAGGCAGCAGUGAGGAAUAUUGGUCAAUGGACGCAAGUCUGAACCAGCCAUGCCGCGUGCAGGAAGACGGCUCUAUGAGUUGUAAAAUGCUUUUGUACGAGGGGAAACGCAGAUACGCGUAUCUGUCUGAAAGUAGCGUACGAAUAAGGAUCGGCUAACUCCGUGCCAGCAGCCGCGGUAAUACGGAGGAUUCAAGCGUUAUCCGGAUUUAUUGGGUGUAACGGGUGCGUAGGCGGUCGGAUAAGUUAGAGGUGAAAUCCCGAGGCUCCACUUCGGAAUUGCCUCUGUUACUGUUCGGCUAGAGCGUAGUUGCGGUAGGCGGAAUG